GCGGCAGUUCGGGGGUCUGAUAACACAUGCAGUCGAACGAUGAACCUCCUUCGGGAGGGGAUUAGUGGCGAACGGGUGAGUAACACGUGGGCAAUCUGCCCUGCACUCUGGGACAAGCCCUGGAAACGGGGUCUAAUACCGGAUAUGACUCGGGAGGGCAUCCUUCCGGGUGGAAAGCUCCGGCGGUGCAGGAUGAGCCCGCGGCCUAUCAGCUUGUUGGUGGGGUGAUGGCCUACCAAGGCGACGACGGGUAGCCGGCCUGAGAGGGCGACCGGCCACACUGGGACUGAGACACGGCCCAGACUCCUACGGGAGGCAGCAGUGGGGAAUAUUGCACAAUGGGCGAAAGCCUGAUGCAGCGACGCCGCGUGAGGGAUGACGGCCUUCGGGUUGUAAACCUCUUUCAGCAGGGAAGAAGCGCAAGUGACGGUACCUGCAGAAGAAGCGCCGGCUAACUACGUGCCAGCAGCCGCGGUAAUACGUAGGGCGCAAGCGUUGUCCGGAAUUAUUGGGCGUAAAGAGCUCGUAGGCGGCUUGUCGCGUCGGAUGUGAAAGCUCGGGGCUUAACCCCGGGUCUGCAUUCGAUACGGGCAGGCUAGAGUGUGGUAGGGGAGAUCGGAAUUCCUGGUGUAGCGGUGAAAUGCGCAGAUAUCAGGAGGAACACCGGUGGCGAAGGCGGAUCUCUGGGCCAUUACUGACGCUGAGGAGCGAAAGCGUGGGGAGCGAACAGGAUUAGAUACCCUGGUAGUCCACGCCGUAAACGUUGGGAACUAGGUGUUGGCGACAUUCCACGUCGUCGUGCCGCAGCUAACGCAUUAAGUUCCCCGCCUGGGGAGUACGGCCGCAAGGCUAAAACUCAAAGGAAUUUGACGGGGGCCCGCACAGCAGCGGAGCAUGUGGCUUAAUUCGACGCAACGCGAAGAACCUUACCAAGGCUUGACAUAUAUCGGAAAGCGCUAGAGAUAGUGCCCCCCUUGUGGUCGGUAUACAGGUGGUGCAUGCUGUCGUCAGCUCGUGUCGUGAGAUGUGGGUAGUCCCGCACGAGCGCCACCAGGUCUGUGUUGCAGCAUGCCUUUCGGGUGAUGGGAACUCACAGAGACUGGCGGGUCACUCGAGAGGUGGACGACGUCAGUCAUCAUGCCUAAUGUCUUGCCGCCACAGGUUCCAAUGCGUCAAUUGACUGCAUGCCUUGAGGCAAGCAAUUCUCAAAAGACGU
Molecule: ribosomal RNA, 1216 nt
Filed under: Streptomyces peucetius
Lineage: Bacteria; Bacillati; Actinomycetota; Actinomycetes; Kitasatosporales; Streptomycetaceae
Description: bacterial SSU rRNA
Rfam family: Bacterial small subunit ribosomal RNA
Source: RNAcentral